This 253-nucleotide ribosomal RNA is filed under the name uncultured bacterium. RNAcentral's name for it is "partial 16S ribosomal RNA". It matches the Rfam family "Bacterial small subunit ribosomal RNA", at positions 524 to 776 of the family's 1533-position model. The record is from RNAcentral.
UACGGAGGGUGCAAGCGUUAUCCGGAUUCACUGGGUUUAGAGGGUGCGUAGGUGGGCAGGUAAGUCAGUGGUGAAAUCUCCGGGCUUAACCCGGAAACUGCCAUUGAUACUAUCAGUCUUGAAUACCGUGGAGGUAAGCGGAAUAUGUCAUGUAGCGGUGAAAUGCUUAGAUAUGACAUAGAACACCAAUUGCGAAGGCAGCUUACUACCCGAAUAUUGACACUGAGGCACGAAAGCGUGGGGAUCAAACAGG